This 73-nucleotide transfer RNA is filed under the name Arsenophonus sp. Its description in RNAcentral is "tRNA-Thr". It matches the Rfam family "tRNA". From Rfam's summary of the family: Transfer RNA (tRNA) molecules are approximately 80 nucleotides in length. Their secondary structure includes four short double-helical elements and three loops (D, anti-codon, and T loops). Lineage: Bacteria; Pseudomonadati; Pseudomonadota; Gammaproteobacteria; Enterobacterales; Morganellaceae. The record is from RNAcentral.
GCUGAUAUAGCUUAGUAGGUAGAGCACAUCCUUGGUAUGGAUGAGGUCGGCAGUUCAAUUCUGCCUAUCAGCA